CCGGGGUUGGGAGUUCUCCUGAGGGAAGAGGAGUGGAGUAGGGGGGACGCGGCGGCGGCGUUGACAAUGAGUUUUCUUGGAGGCUUUUUUGGUCCAAUUUGUGAGAUCGAUAUUGUUCUUAAUGAUGGGGAAACCAGGAAAAUGGCAGAAAUGAAAACUGAAGAUGGCAAAGUAGAAAAACACUAUCUCUUCUAUGACGGAGAAUCUGUUUCAGGAAAGAACUUUUCAAUGACAAGAGUAAUACUCAUGAAUUUGUAAACCUAGUGAAAGAACUAGCCUUACCUGGAGAACUGACUCAGAGCAGAAGUUAUGAUUUUGAAUUUAUGCAAGUUGAAAAGCCAUAUGAAUCUUACAUCGGUGCCAAUGUCCGCUUGAGGUAUCAUUUAAAGGAUGUGAUUGUUGGAAAAAUUUACUUCUUAUUAGUAAGAAUAAAAAUACAACAUAUGGAGUUACAGCUGAUCAAAAAAGAGAUCACAGGAAUUGGACCCAGUACCACAACAGAAACAGAAACAAUCGCCAAAUAUGAAAUAAUGGAUGGUGCACCAGUAAAAGGUGAAUCAAUUCCAAUAAGACUAUUUUUAGCAGGAUAUGACCCAACUCCAACAAUGAGAGAUGUGAACAAAAAAUUUUCAGUAAGGUACUUUUUGAAUUUAGUGCUUGUUGAUGAGGAAGACCGGAGGUACUUCAAACAGCAGGAGAUAAUUUUAUGGAGAAAAGCUCCUGAAAAACUGAGGAAACAGAGAACAAACUUUCACCAGCGAUUUGAAUCUCCAGAAUCACAGGCAUCUGCCGAACAGCCU
This 800-nucleotide small RNA is filed under the name Pongo abelii (Sumatran orangutan). Its description in RNAcentral is "processed transcript". Lineage: Eukaryota; Metazoa; Chordata; Mammalia; Primates; Hominidae. The record is from RNAcentral.